AAACAAAAAAGGGGAAGGGGGAAAGGGGAAGGGGGAAGGGGAGGAGUGUGUUAAGCAAGCAGGUUUAUAGAAGCGAGAAAUGCCGGUUACUUUAUGUACAAUCACUUAUUCUAUUAUAUACCAGACUACAUUUAGGAAGUUUCACAACUUACUCUAUUACAUAGCGGGUUACAUUCAGGAAAGGUUUUACAAUGCUCGUAGCAAACA
Molecule: long non-coding RNA, 207 nt
Organism: Leopardus geoffroyi (Geoffroy's cat)
Lineage: Eukaryota; Metazoa; Chordata; Mammalia; Carnivora; Felidae
Exons: 2
Source: RefSeq, a predicted model, not a curated record